RNAcentral lists this ribosomal RNA (460 nucleotides) under uncultured bacterium. RNAcentral describes it as "partial 16S ribosomal RNA". It matches the Rfam family "Bacterial small subunit ribosomal RNA", at positions 338 to 795 of the family's 1533-position model. The record is from RNAcentral.
CCUACGGGUGGCAGCAGUGAGGAAUAUUGGUCAAUGGACGAGAGUCUGAACCAGCCAAGUAGCGUGAAGGAUGACUGCCCUAUGGGUUGUAAACUUCUUUUAUAAAGGAAUAAAACGAGGCACGUGUGCCUUGUUGCAUGUACUUUAUGAAUAAGGAUCGGCUAACUCCGUGCCAGCAGCCGCGGUAAUACGGAGGAUCCGAGCGUUAUCCGGAUUUAUUGGGUUUAAAGGGAGCGUAGAUGGGUUGUUAAGUCAGUUGUGAAAGUUUGCGGCUUAACCGUAAAAUUGCAAUUGAUACUGGCAGUCUCGAGUACAGUUGAGGUAGGCGGAAUACGUGGUGUAGCGGUGAAAUGCUUAGAUAUCACGAAGAACCCCGAUUGCGAAGGCAGCUUACCAAACUGUGACUGACAUUGAUGCUCGAGAGUGUGGGUAUCAAACAGGAUUAGAUACCCGAGUAGUC